Molecule: ribosomal RNA, 593 nt
Filed under: Clonostachys divergens
Lineage: Eukaryota; Fungi; Ascomycota; Sordariomycetes; Hypocreales; Bionectriaceae
Description: eukaryotic LSU rRNA
Rfam family: Eukaryotic large subunit ribosomal RNA
Source: RNAcentral
UUGACCUCAGAUCAGGUAGGAAUACCCGCUGAACUUAAGCAUAUCAAUAAGCGGAGGAAAAGAAACCAACAGGGAUUGCCCUAGUAACGGCGAGUGAAGCGGCAACAGCUCAAAUUUGAAAUCUGGCGCAAGCCCGAGUUGUAAUUUGUAGAGGAUGUUUCUGGCGACGUGCCUUCCGAGUUCCCUGGAACGGGACGCCAUAGAGGGUGAGAGCCCCGUACGGUUGGAUGCCUAGCCUCUGUGAAACUCCUUCGACGAGUCGAGUAGUUUGGGAAUGCUGCUCUAAAUGGGAGGUAUACGUCUUCUAAAGCUAAAUACCGGCCAGAGACCGAUAGCGCACAAGUAGAGUGAUCGAAAGAUGAAAAGCACUUUGAAAAGAGGGUUAAAAAGUACGUGAAAUUGUUGAAAGGGAAGCGUUCAUGACCAGACUUGGGCAGGUUGAUCAUCCGUGGUUCUCCGCGGUGCACUCUGCCUGCCCAGGCCAGCAUCAGUUCGCCCCGGGGGAUAAAGGCUUCGGGAAUGUGGCUCCUCCGGGAGUGUUAUAGCCCGCUGCGUAAUACCCUGGGGCGGACUGAGGUUCGCGCACUGCAAGG